This 429-nucleotide ribosomal RNA is filed under the name Bacillota bacterium. Its description in RNAcentral is "Firmicutes bacterium partial 16S ribosomal RNA". It matches the Rfam family "Bacterial small subunit ribosomal RNA", at positions 355 to 776 of the family's 1533-position model. Lineage: Bacteria; Bacillati; Bacillota. The record is from RNAcentral.
UAGGGAAUCUUCGGCAAUGGACGGAAGUCUGACCGAGCAACGCCGCGUGAGUGAAGAAGGUUUUCGGAUCUUAAAGCUCUGUUGUUAGAGAAGAACGUUGGUAGGAGUGGAAAAUCUACCAAGUGACGGUAACUAACCAGAAAGGGACGGCUAACUACGUGCCAGCAGCCGCGGUAAUACGUAGGUCCCGAGCGUUGUCCGGAUUUAUUGGGCGUAAAGCGAGCGCAGGCGGUUCUUUAAGUCUGAAGUUAAAGGCAGUGGCUUAACCAUUGUACGCUUUGGAAACGGGAGGACUUGAGUGCAGAAGGGGAGAGUGGAAUUCCAUGUGUAGCGGUGAAAUGCGUAGAUAUAUGGAGGAACACCGGUGGCGAAAGCGGCUCUCUGGUCUGUAACUGACGCUGAGGCUCGAAAGCGUGGGGAGCAAACAGG